UGCAGUCCAUGGGCCUCUUUUUAUACCUUGUUUUUUUUCUUUUUCAGACAAGGUUAAUGAGUUGGAGCAGCGAGUUACUAUUCUCCAAAACAGAAGCAACAGUCCUUAAGAAGGAAAGAGACAGCCUUGCAUCUCAUCACUGAAGAUUCUCUACCAUGAGUCUUGUGUUGGACAAACUUGACAUUACUCGUUAGAGCUCUCGAUGAAGUGCUUUACAAUAUGAUACACUGGAAGAUGUACCCAUU
Saccostrea cuccullata (small rock oyster) is the source of this 245-nucleotide long non-coding RNA. RefSeq lists it as uncharacterized. The transcript has 2 exons. NCBI's taxonomy places the organism in Eukaryota, Metazoa, Mollusca, Bivalvia, Ostreida, Ostreidae. The record is from RefSeq and is a predicted model, not a curated record.